UCGCACACAACAUCGGUGCCGUACAAGGAGGAGGUGGACUGAUUGUGCUGUAGGACCCUGAAAUAAAAGAGUAAUAAAUAUAUAUUUAUAUUCAGAACCAUAUUCAAUCACAUAAGAAGCAUAUCUUUGAACAUUAGAACAUACGACUACUCAUAUCAAAUCAUCUUCAGCAGCCUACCUGGCAGAUGGCUUGUAGACCUUGGCAAUGUUUCCAUCUUCUCGGGCUAUCUUGUUGUACGAAUUGACCAGCUCACGUAUGGAGUAGGGCUCGUUAAAGUCGAUGCGCAUGAGGCCGUAGUUUGAUUUCAGGGCCUUCCAAAUGCCCGAAAUGGCCUUGCCGAAUGAUUCGGGUAUCUUCUUCUCGCCCUUUUGUUCGCGCACAAAGUUUCCGUCGACGAGACGCUCGUAGUUUACGGAAACGGGUACCAGCAGUGCGUCCGGUAUGCUGCCGUCCAUGAAGGCGUUCACAAUCACAGAAAGAAUGCCGCCCUUGGGCAUGCACGGCUUGCCAGUGCGCGUUCGUCCGCCCUCGAUGAAGAACUCGACGUUGUGGCCCUGCUUCAAGGCGUGGGUCAGAUACAGGUGUAGAGCAGCGCGAUAAAGCACGUCCUUCUUGCCCUCCACAGGAUCAAUCUUGCGUUUGAUGAAGAAAGCACCCAAACCACGUAGGAGCCCACCAAAGACCGGAAUUUGCAGGUUGUUGCCAGCGGCUACCAGAGGACUGCGUAUAUCGUUGUUCGUGAGUAUCCAUGUGACCAUGAUGUAGUCCAAGUGGCUGCGAUGCAGCGGAACAAAUAUCAGCGGAGUGCCCGGCGAACGCUCUGUGGCUGUUUUGAGCAUCUCGAUCUGCUUCGUGUUCGUAACGACUCCGGAGAGGAAGCAGGGCAGCAACUUGUACAGGAUCCAGGAAGUGAAGGCCAAAAGGCCAUUGUUCAGAGUGGAGCCCAUGUCCUUCAGUAUGCUAAUGGCGCGCUGCUCCUGCUUACGCAGAAUGGCCUGAUAGGAUAUACCCCUCUUCUCGUCCUCCUCCUCCUGCGCCUCCUGAUCUCCACUAGCACUGCGCGUGAGCAGACGAUGACCAUUUUUAGCAUAUCUCUGCUCCCUUAGCGUCUGCUCGGCGGCCUGUUUAAUUGCAUGCUUCAGUACAGCAUCGUUGUGCACGAUCUCGGUGACCUAAGGGGAUGCAGUUCAAGGUAACUACAGGUUUUAUGAGCUUUAAGGGGUCACCCACCUGUCGGUACUCGAACUUCUCGCUGCGCACCACCUGGGCAACAUAUGGGAAGAGCACGCCCCAGUCGAAUAGCUUCUUAAAAGGCUUCUGACCCGAAUGCGGGGUCAGCUCCAACAUAUUCUGCGUCCCAAUGCCAUGAGCCACCGAAUUCUGCGUCUUGGGCUCCUGCAAUGAAACGAUCGGAACAAUUCUGUGAUUGUGAUGCAACUGGCAUGCAUAUAGACGUCAUGCAGGCGGGUCAAUUGGUACCUCGAACCAGCCGCGAGCGUGAAACUCCUCCAUGGGCAUUCCAGCCAAGAGAUUCUACCGUUCUACAGCACUUUCAAAUUGUAAAUUUAUAAUUUACGCAUUUACCCAUGCGCCCGGCUUUUUUUGCAGGAAAUCGACGGCCGAUAAGUCCUUCUCAGCUUUCAGGAUUGUUAUCGAUUGGCAGGAUGAUGUGGCAACGCCACGAGUAUUUAAUUUAAAAUAGUGCAAACUUUUA
Drosophila melanogaster (fruit fly) is the source of this 1715-nucleotide non-coding RNA. The record is from Ensembl. NCBI's taxonomy places the organism in Eukaryota, Metazoa, Arthropoda, Insecta, Diptera, Drosophilidae.